UACAGAGGGUGCAAGCGUUAAUCGGAAUUACUGGGCGUAAAGCGCACGUAGGCGGAUAUUUAAGUCGAUUGUGAAAUCCCCGGGCUUAACCUGGGAACUGCAGUCGAUACUGAAUAUCUAGAGUAUGGUAGAGGAAAGUGGAACUCCCGGUGUAGCGGUGAAAUGCGUAGAUAUCGGGAAGAACACCAGUGGCGAAGGCGGCUUUCUGGACCAAUACUGACGCUGAGGUGCGAAAGCGUGGGGAGCAAACAGG
Molecule: ribosomal RNA, 253 nt
Filed under: uncultured bacterium
Lineage: Bacteria
Description: partial 16S ribosomal RNA
Rfam family: Bacterial small subunit ribosomal RNA
Source: RNAcentral